CGUAGGGGGAACCUGCGGAGGGAUCAUUACCGAGUUAUACAACUCAUCAACCCUGUGAACCUACCUAAACGUUGCUUCGGCGGGAACAGACGGCCCUGAAACGAUGGGCCGCCCCCGCCGAGGACCCCUAUCUCUGUUUUUAUUGAAAUUCUGAGUAAAACAAGCAAAUAAAUCAAAACUUUCAACAACGGAUCUCUUGGCUCUGGCAUCGAUGAAGAACGCAGCGAAAUGCGAUAAGUAAUGUGAAUUGCAGAAUUCAGUGAAUCAUCGAAUCUUUGAACGCACAUUGCGCCCGCCAGUAUUCUGGCGGGCAUGCCUGUUCGAGCGUCAUUACAACCCUCAGGCCCCCGGGCCUGGCGUUGGGGAUCGGCGGAGCCCCCCGCGGGCACACGCCGUCCCCCAAAUACAGUGGCGGUCACGCCGCAGCUUCCAAUGCGUAGUAGCAACACCUCGCAACUGGAGAGCGGCGCGGCCACGCCGUGAAACACCCAACUUUUAGAACGUUGACCUCGAAUCAGGUAGGAAUACCCGCUGAACUUAAGCAUAUCAUAGGCCGGGAGGAA
Molecule: ribosomal RNA, 563 nt
Filed under: Fusarium solani
Lineage: Eukaryota; Fungi; Ascomycota; Sordariomycetes; Hypocreales; Nectriaceae
Description: eukaryotic LSU rRNA
Rfam family: 5.8S ribosomal RNA (bases 177-330)
Source: RNAcentral